Molecule: ribosomal RNA, 1497 nt
Filed under: uncultured Chaetoceros
Lineage: Eukaryota; Bacillariophyta; Thalassiosirophyceae; Chaetocerotales; Chaetocerotaceae
Description: partial Bacterial large subunit ribosomal RNA
Rfam family: Bacterial large subunit ribosomal RNA
Source: RNAcentral
GCAUUAAAUGAAUGCCUAAACAUCAAAAUAAUUGUGGACGUUUUUCAAACGAAAUUUCUAGUGAGUAUUAAAAAUGCUGAGACCUAGAUAUGUCCAUGUUAGAAAACUAAGCUUUAAUAAUUAAGCUUUUUAUAUUGGUUAAAUUAUAUAAUUAAUGUAAAAUAUUAAUAUUUAGUGAACUGAAUCAUCUAAGUAACUAAAUAAAAAAAUCAACCGAGAACCCGUAAGUAGUGGCGAGCGAAAGCGGAUAAGACUUUCCAAAAUUAAUUAUAAUUUGAAUUUUAAGCCAAAGAAGGUAAUUAAGCCCUGUAAAAUUUAAAUUAAUUUUGGGUAUUAGUAAAACGGUGCCAGUCGUGCAUUGUUUAAAUAAUGGGGGACCACCCUCAAGUCUAAAAAAUUUUGAUGAUUGAUAGUGUAUAGUACCGUGAGGGAAAGGUGAAAUUAAAAUUUAUUAAUAUAAAUUAAAACCUGAAAUUUAAUGCUGACAAGCAGUUGAAGCUUUUAAAAGUAACAGCGUACCUUUUGCAUAAUGGAUCAACAAGUUUAUUUUAGUGGCGAGCUUAAACAUAUUAUUUGUGUAGGCUGAAAGAAAUUAAGUUUUAAAAAGCUUUUAAGUCUCUAAAAUAAGACCCGAAACUAAGUGAUCUAACCAUGAGCAGGCUGAAUUUAUAGCGGUAACGCUUAUUGGAGGGCCGAACCCGUGUAUGUGGAAAAAUACUGGGAUGACUUGUGGUUAGGGGUGAAAGGCCAAUCAAACUUAGAGAUAGCUGGUUUUCUGCGAAAUCUAUUUAAGUAGAGCGUUUAAAAACUUUAUUUUAAGGUAGAGCACUCAAUAAAUAAUGGGGGCGUAAAGCUUUACUGAAUUUAAUGAAACUCCGAAUAUUUAAUAAAAGAAAUUAAACAGACAGACUUUGAGUGCUAAGAUUCAAAGUCAAGAGGGAAACAGCCCAGAUUAUUCGUUAAGGUCCUCAAAAAUAAUUAAGUGAAAAAACUGUUAAAAACUAAAAACAUCCGGUAGGUAGGCUUGGAAGCAGCCAUCCUUUAAAGAAAGCGUAACAGCUCACUCAUCAAGCGAUCCUGCGCCGAAAAUGUAACGGGGCUAAAGCCAUUUACCGAAAUUGUGGGCUUCUUUUAGAAGCGGUAGCGGAGCGUUCCGUAAGCCUGUGAAGGUGACCUGUGAGGGUUGCUGGAGGUAUCGGAAGUGAGAAUGUUGACAUGAGUAGCGACAAAGCGGGUGAGAGACCCGCUCGCCGAAAAUCCAAGGGUUCCUGCGUAAAGCUAAUCUGCGCAGGGUUAGCCGGCCCCUAAGGCGAGGCGGAAACGCGUAGCCGAUGGGAACCACGUUAAUAUUCGUGGGCCGAGGAGUGUGUGACGGAUUUCGAAAGUUGUCAUCCCUUAUUGGAUUGGGAUGGCGGCCUGGAAGUCCCAGGAAAUAGCCCUCCAUUAAGACCGUACCCUAAACCGACACAGGUGGAUAGGUAGAGAAUACCAAGGCGC